Molecule: ribosomal RNA, 301 nt
Filed under: uncultured bacterium
Lineage: Bacteria
Description: partial 16S ribosomal RNA
Rfam family: Bacterial small subunit ribosomal RNA
Source: RNAcentral
CAGUCGCCACGGGAAUACGUAGGGUGCGAGCGUUAAUCGGAAUUACUGGGCGUAAAGCGUGCGCAGGCGGUUCGUUAAGACAGAUGUGAAAUCCCCGGGCUUAACCUGGGAACUGCAUUUGUGACUGGCGAGCUAGAGUAUGGCAGAGGGGGGUAGAAUUCCACGUGUAGCAGCGAAAUGCGUAGAGAUGUGGAGGAAUACCGAUGGCGAAGGCAGCCCCCUGGGCCAAUACUGACGCUCAUGCACGAAAGCGUGGGGAGCAAACAGGAUUAGAUACCCGUGUAGUCCCUGUCUCUUAUAC